CACUCCUGCGGGAGGCAGCAGUGGGGAAUAUUGGACAAUGGGCGAAAGCCUGAUCCAGCAAUGCCGCGUGAGUGAUGAAGGCCUUAGGGUUGUAAAGCUCUUUUACCCGGGAUGAUAAUGACAGUACCGGGAGAAUAAGCCCCGGCUAACUCCGUGCCAGCAGCCGCGGUAAUACGGAGGGGGCUAGCGUUGUUCGGAAUUACUGGGCGUAAAGCGCGCGUAGGCGGCUUUGUAAGUUAGAGGUGAAAGCCCGGAGCUCAACUUCGGAAUUGCCUUUAAGACUGCAUCGCUAGAAUCGUGGAGAGGUGAGUGGAAUUCCGAGUGUAGAGGUGAAAUUCGUAGAUAUUCGGAAGAACACCAGUGGCGAAGGCGACUCACUGGACACGUAUUGACGCUGAGGUGCGAAAGCGUGGGGAGCAAACAGGAUUAGAAACCCUGGUAGUCCCAUG
RNAcentral lists this ribosomal RNA (449 nucleotides) under uncultured organism. Its description in RNAcentral is "partial 16S ribosomal RNA". It matches the Rfam family "Bacterial small subunit ribosomal RNA", at positions 334 to 799 of the family's 1533-position model. The record is from RNAcentral.